This 253-nucleotide ribosomal RNA is filed under the name uncultured bacterium. Its description in RNAcentral is "partial 16S ribosomal RNA". It matches the Rfam family "Bacterial small subunit ribosomal RNA", at positions 524 to 776 of the family's 1533-position model. The record is from RNAcentral.
UACGAAGGGGGCUAGCGUUGCUCGGAUUGACUGGGCGUAAAGGGCGCGUAGGCGGUUCGUACAGUCAGACGUGAAAUUCCUGGGCUCAACCUGGGGGCUGCGUUUGAUACGUGCGGACUUGAGUGCGGAAGAGGCUCGCGGAAUUCCCAGUGUAGAGGUGAAAUUCGUAGAUAUUGGGAAGAACACCGGUGGCGAAGGCGGCGAGCUGGUCUGCACCUGACGCUGAGGCGCGAUAGCGUGGGGAGCAAACAGG